Molecule: ribosomal RNA, 420 nt
Filed under: uncultured ammonia-oxidizing beta proteobacterium
Lineage: Bacteria; Pseudomonadati; Pseudomonadota; Betaproteobacteria
Description: bacterial SSU rRNA
Rfam family: Bacterial small subunit ribosomal RNA
Source: RNAcentral
UGGGAGGAAAGCAGGGGAUCGCAAGACCUUGCGCUUUUGGAGUGGCCGAUGCCUGAUUAGCUAGUUGGUGGGGUAAUGGCCUACCAAGGCGACGAUCAGUAGUUGGUCUGAGAGGACGACCAGCCACACUGGGACUGAGACACGGCCCAGACUCCUACGGGAGGCAGCAGUGGGGAAUUUUGGACAAUGGGCGAAAGCCUGAUCCAGCAAUGCCGCGUGAGUGAAGAAGGCCUUCGGGUUGUAAAGCUCUUUCAGUCGAGAAGAAAAGGUUGUGACUAAUAAUCACAACUCAUGACGGUAUCGACAGAAGAAGCACCGGCUAACUACGUGCCAGCAGCCGCGGUAAUACGUAGGGUGCGAGCGUUAAUCGGAAUUACUGGGCGUAAAGGGUGCGCAGGCGGCUUUGUAAGUCAGAUGUGA